GGGGAUUUAGCUCAGUGGUUCUGCCAUCUGUCUUGCAAGCAUAAGGACCUGAGUUCGAUCCCCAGUAUCCCCU
Molecule: transfer RNA, 73 nt
Filed under: Heterocephalus glaber (naked mole-rat)
Lineage: Eukaryota; Metazoa; Chordata; Mammalia; Rodentia; Bathyergidae
Rfam family: tRNA
About the family: Transfer RNA (tRNA) molecules are approximately 80 nucleotides in length.
Source: Rfam by way of RNAcentral